GAUUACUAGCCCCCCUUGAUUUCUUAGUUAACCUCUUAGCAAAUAUGUACAUUUCACAUUUCUUGGGAAGACUACUACCAAUGUAUGCAUAGUUCCACACUACGACCACCAUACCUUAUUAACUCUUUUAGCACUUUACAACAUACAUAUAUGCAUACUUCCACACUAAGGCCACCCCUAUCAAACCAAUAUAUGCAUACUUCCACACUACAACCAAUAUAUACAAUUGAAAUAGUCCGAUGUUUUCCCAAAUUUUACCAUUUUGAAGAUGAACAAUAACCAAGUUCUUAUAAGAUUAUUGUUUCUCACAGCAAUGGAUUACAAGGUGGUAGCCAUGUUGAUAUGCUUUUUAUGUGCAUCCAACGAUCUCAGUUCCGUAGAUGCAUUUGGGCACAUGCGAACCAAUGAGACGUUUUAGCAUCUCCAAGAUCAGCCCCAUUUGUGUUACCCGGGAGGAACAAAAGUCAAUACAAAAGCAAAAAUGAUUACCAUCAUAUAGCUGGCUGGAGCACCACACUGAGCAGCUAUGGCGCGUGAGUUAAAAUAGGUAUAUGGGGUUCACAAGGACAACGUCAUUCCCAAGAAUCUGGGGCAUCGAUGUAUCUCUACAAUAGUGAUCAAGAUGAUUCCUCCAUCAAUUUGAUCCAAGAUGGAUUUCAUGUAAUGGAAAGAUUUCCAAAUAUUAUUUUUAAUACCAGUUCAGAUUUUAGUUG
Aegilops tauschii subsp. strangulata is the source of this 713-nucleotide long non-coding RNA. RefSeq lists it as uncharacterized. The record is from RefSeq and is a predicted model, not a curated record. NCBI's taxonomy places the organism in Eukaryota, Viridiplantae, Streptophyta, Magnoliopsida, Poales, Poaceae.